GCAAUGGACGAAAGUCUGACGGAGCAACGCCGCGUGAGUGAUGAAGGUUUUCGGAUCGUAAAGCUCUGUUGUUAGGGAAGAACAAGUGCAAGAGUAACUGCUUGCACCUUGACGGUACCUAACCAGAAAGCCACGGCUAACUACGUGCCAGCAGCCGCGGUAAUACGUAGGUGGCAAGCGUUGUCCGGAAUUAUUGGGCGUAAAGGGCUCGCAGGCGGUUUCUUAAGUCUGAUGUGAAAGCCCCCGGCUCAACCGGGGAGGGUCAUUGGAAACUGGGAAACUUGAGUGCAGAAGAGGAGAGUGGAAUUCCACGUGUAGCGGUGAAAUGCGUAGAGAUGUGGAGGAACACCAGUGGCGAAGGCGACUCUCUGGUCUGUAACUGACGCUGAGGAGCGAAAGCGUGGGGAGCGAACAGGAUUAGAUACCCUGGUAGUCCACGCCGUAAACGAUGAGUGCUAAGUGUUAGGGGGUUUCCGCCCCUUAGUGCUGCAGCUAACGCAUUAAGCACUCCGCCUGGGGAGUACGGUCGCAAGACUGAAACUCAAAGGAAUUGACGGGGGCCCGCACAAGCGGUGGAGCAUGUGGUUUAAUUCGAAGCAACGCGAAGAACCUUACCAGGUCUUGACAUCCUCUGACAACCCUAGAGAUAGGGCUUUCCCUUCGGGGACAGAGUGACA
RNAcentral lists this ribosomal RNA (677 nucleotides) under Bacillus sp. PB7. RNAcentral's name for it is "bacterial SSU rRNA". It matches the Rfam family "Bacterial small subunit ribosomal RNA", at positions 368 to 1036 of the family's 1533-position model. Lineage: Bacteria; Bacillati; Bacillota; Bacilli; Caryophanales; Bacillaceae. The record is from RNAcentral.